RNAcentral lists this long non-coding RNA (406 nucleotides) under Capra hircus (goat). Its description in RNAcentral is "lncRNA (ENSCHIG00000001355.1)". Lineage: Eukaryota; Metazoa; Chordata; Mammalia; Artiodactyla; Bovidae. The record is from RNAcentral.
GUCCUAACUGGACUAUUCCCCGCUGGUCUCUAGCCGCCAUCGCCUCUUAGAUGCUAGUGUCAGAGGAGAGUCUCCAGAUGAGAGCCUCUCCUAGAUCAGACACAGAGGGCAGAAGAAAUCCACAUGCAGGAAAGCAUGGUAUCAUUCAGAAGGAGAGCAGUGCCUGCCAGAGCAAAUGUUUACUGCAUGCCCAUGGUGAGAAAACUGAGCAGCUUCAGAUAUGAAAGGAAGCAAAACCACGAUGAUCUCAGGACCUGAAGUCAAAUUUGCAAUGACAAUACAUCAUGGCCUUAAAUUGGCAGUUGCAGAGUGUAAUCAGUGUUCCAAGAGAAGUUUGUACCGUGUUACUACAGGGGAUUCCUGGUGUCGCAAUCAGUGGAGCAAGAUAAGUGAGAUUCAAGAUGUA